UGGUUGAUCCUGCCGGAGGCUACCGCUAUUGGAGUUCGAUUAAGCCAUGCGAGUCGCGAGACUUAGAAUCUCGGCGUACCGCUCAGUAACACGUGGGUAACCUGCCCUAUGCUAGGGGAUAACCUCGGGAAACUGAGAAUAAUACCCUAUAGUUCACCACGGCUGGAACGGUGGGUGGAUGAAAGUUCCGGCGGCAUAGGAUGGGCCUGCGGCGUAUCAGGUUGUAGGGGGUGUAAUGUACCCUCUAGCCAUCUACGCGUACGGGUGUUGGGAGACAUCGCCCGGAGAUGGAUUCUGAGACACGAAUCCAGACCCUACGGGGUGCAGCAGGCGCGAAAACUUGGCAAUGCGAGAAAUCGUGACCAGGGAACUCCAAGUGCAUCGGGUAAGACCGAUGCUUUUCUUGACUCUUCAAAGGUCUUGGAAUAAGGGGUGGGUAAGGACGGUGCCAGCCGCCGCGGUAAUACCGGCGCCUCAAGUGGUAGUCGCUUUUAUUGGGCCUAAAACGUCCGUAGCCGGUUUGGUACAUUCGUGGGUAAAUCAAGGCGCUCAACGUCUUGAAUUCUGCGAGCACGGCCAGACUUGGGACCGGGUGAGGUGUGGGGUACUCUCAGGGUAGGGGUAAAAUCCUGUCAUCCUGAGAGGACCACCUGUUGCGAAG
RNAcentral lists this ribosomal RNA (661 nucleotides) under uncultured Candidatus Poseidoniales archaeon. RNAcentral's name for it is "bacterial SSU rRNA". It matches the Rfam family "Archaeal small subunit ribosomal RNA", at positions 5 to 671 of the family's 1478-position model. The record is from RNAcentral. Lineage: Archaea; Methanobacteriati; Thermoplasmatota; Candidatus Poseidoniia; Candidatus Poseidoniales.